AGCAGUCGCCGCGGUAAUACGGAGGGUGCAAGCGUUACUCGGAAUUACUGGGCGUAAAGCGUGCGUAGGUGGUGGUUUAAGUCCGUUGUGAAAGCCCUGGGCUCAACCUGGGAAUUGCAGUGGAUACUGGGUCACUAGAGUGUGGUAGAGGAUAGUGGAAUUUCCGGUGUAGCAGUGAAAUGCGUAGAGAUCGGAAGGAACAUCUGUGGCGAAGGCGACUAUCUGGGCCAACACUGACACUGAGGCACGAAAGCGUGGGGAGCAAACAGGAUUAGAUACCCCUGUAGUCCCUGUCUCUUAUAA
Molecule: ribosomal RNA, 303 nt
Filed under: uncultured bacterium
Lineage: Bacteria
Description: partial 16S ribosomal RNA
Rfam family: Bacterial small subunit ribosomal RNA
Source: RNAcentral